UCUCUUUCUUUGUGUCAUUGAUUUUGUUAUGACAUUGUUGGUCCAGUUAUUUUAUUUCAACAAGUUAUUGUGAUGGACUUGUCGCUCCUUAUUAUUCCUUUUCCAUUAUGUCUUAGUGGCUAGCUCAAUUGAGUAAGGUAGCGAAUGUUGGUCGUGCCUCCUUUAGUUUGGGGUGUGACAGAUAAUUAAUGACAAAGAAAUUGUUACACGAUCAAUUAAUACGUAAAAAUUCAUUAAACUAUACAAAUUGUUACUCAUUAGAACCUAAUAAGUUAAGAAGAUUUAUAACUAACUAGCUAGAACGUACUUGAUUAAAAUCUUGACUUCCAUC
Molecule: long non-coding RNA, 331 nt
Filed under: Solanum tuberosum (potato)
Lineage: Eukaryota; Viridiplantae; Streptophyta; Magnoliopsida; Solanales; Solanaceae
Description: long non-coding RNA (STUB_LNC006877)
Source: RNAcentral